Molecule: ribosomal RNA, 945 nt
Filed under: uncultured bacterium
Lineage: Bacteria
Description: bacterial SSU rRNA
Rfam family: Bacterial small subunit ribosomal RNA
Source: RNAcentral
GAUGAACGCUGGCGGUAUGCUUUACACAUGCAAGUCGUACGAGAGUCUUUAACUCAAGUGGCGGACGGGUGAGUAACACGUAAGAAUUUGCCUUUAGGAGGGGGACAACAACUGGAAACGGUUGCUAAUACCCCAUAAGCUUUCGAGUGAAAUGGAUUUUUCCGCCUAGAGAGAAGCUUGCGGCUGAUUAGCUUGUUGGUAAGGUAAUGGCUUACCAAGGCGACGAUCAGUAUCUGGUUUGAGAGGACGAUCAGACACACUGGAACUGAGACACGGUCCAGACUCCUACGGGAGGCAGCAGUGAGGAAUAUUGGACAAUGGGCGCAAGCCUGAUCCAGCCAUGCCGCGUGCAGGAUGACGGUCCUAUGGAUUGUAAACUGCUUUUAUACAGGAAGAAACACUCCCUCGUGAGGGAGCUUGACGGUACUGUAAGAAUAAGGAUCGGCUAACUCCGUGCCAGCAGCCGCGGUAAUACGGAGGAUCCAAGCGUUAUCCGGAAUCAUUGGGUUUAAAGGGUCCGUAGGCGGUCAGAUAAGUCAGUGGUGAAAGCCCAUCGCUCAACGGUGGAACGGCCAUUGAUACUGUCUGACUUGAAUUAUUAGGAAGUAACUAGAAUAUGUAGUGUAGCGGUGAAAUGCUUAGAGAUUACAUGGAAUACCAAUUGCGAAGGCAGGUUACUACUAAUAUAUUGACGCUGAUGGACGAAAGCGUGGGUAGCGAACAGGAUUAGAUACCCUGGUAGUCCACGCCGUAAACGAUGGAUACUAGCUGUUGGGAGCAAUCUCAGUGGCUAAGCGAAAGUGAUAAGUAUCCCACCUGGGGAGUACGAACGCAAGUUUGAAACUCAAAGGAAUUGACGGGGGCCCGCACAAGCGGUGGAGCAUGUGGUUUAAUUCGAUGAUACGCGAGGAACCUUACCAAGGCUUAAAUGUAGUUUGACCGGUU